Molecule: ribosomal RNA, 564 nt
Filed under: uncultured archaeon
Lineage: Archaea
Description: bacterial SSU rRNA
Rfam family: Archaeal small subunit ribosomal RNA
Source: RNAcentral
CGCGAUUCGCCCUUCGGGGUGCAGCAGGCGCGAAAACUUUGCAUACACGAAAGUGUGACAGGGCUAUCCCGAGUGCCAUCCGCUGAGGAAGGCUUUUACCCAGUCUAGAACGCUGGGGGAAUAAGGAGAGGGCAAGUCUGGUGUCAGCCGCCGCGGUAAUACCAGCUCUCCGAGUGGUGUGGAUGUUUAUUGGGCCUAAAGCAUCCGUAGCUGGCUAAGUUAGUCCCUUGUUAAAUCCACCGAAUUAAUCGUUGGAUUGCGGGGGAUACUGCUUGGCUAGGGGACGAGAGAGGCAGACGGUAUUUCCGGGGUAGGGGUGAAAUCCUAUAAUCCCGGGAAGACCACCAGUGGCGAAGGCUGUCUGCUAGAACGCGCCCGACGGUGAGGGAUGAAAGCUGGGGGAGCGAACCGGAUUAGAUACCCGGGUAGUCCCAGCUGUAAACGAUGCAGGCUAGGUGUUUGGACGGCCACGUGCCGUUCUAGUGCCGCAGGGAAGCUGUUAAGCCUGCCGCCUGGGGAGUACGAUCGCAAGAUUGAAACUUAAAGGAAUUGGCGGGGGAGCAC